AUGUUGCCCAAGCUGGUCUCAAGCUUUUGGGCUCCAGGGAUCCUUCUGUCUUGGCCUCCCAAAAUCCUUGGAUUACAGAUGAGAGCCACAACCAUGCCUGGCCGUGAAAUAUACACUUCAAUAGAUUUAAGGCGGUACAUUUUAUGUUAUGUAUUUUUAAAACAUUUCUUUUAAAGAAAACCUGAAAAAAAAUACAGAAUUAUAAAUCUUUUUGAAAAUUACCUUCAAAUCACUAAAGUUUUCUUCUCACAAAAGGAAAUAUAUAUUCAUUAUUAAACACACAGUAAAAAUAAGACUAUAUCCAUGACAACUCACUUAGAUAAGAUAAAACUACCAUUGAAAAUCAGCUAAGAAAGAAUAUAGGAUAAGAUAUAACUAAAAUUGGGAUCAUAUUUAUAAAUAAACAUACAUACAUAUGUAAUCUGAUUGUGAUGAACAUGCAUAAUUUAUCUCUUAAACCUCAAAUUGACUUAAACUGUACAAACAGAAUUUCAAAUUGUCUAAAAUUGUAAUACGAAAGUAAAACCAACAGACACAAAAAACUGAUGUUAAGAAACCUACACUGAUGCCAGGUGCAGUGGCUCAUAUCUGUAAUCUUAGCUCCUUGGAAAGCUGAGGCACGAGAAUUGGUUUGAACUCAGGAGGUGGAGGUUGCAGUAAGCCAAGCCCACACCACUGCACUCCAGCCUGGGCUACAGAAUGUGACUCUGUCUCACAAAAACAAAAAGAUUGUCUAGGUAACUGGAAUAUUUAACUAUUACUGUGUACUCAUCAAAUGCGGGUAUUUUGAAUCAUUGGCAUGCACUGUGUGGCAGUAAAAUUUCAGAGAAUAUGCGGUAUAAUUAUAAAUAGAAGAUUCUAAUGAGAAACUUUUAAUAAAUAAGCAUUUAAAAGAAACUAGAGUUAUAUUUAUGUUUUAAAUAUAUGCUAUUCUUACACAAAAUGAAACUGCUGUAAUUCAACUUUAGAAGCAAAGAAUAGCCUUACAUUGUUAAAUACAGAAAAUAUAUGUAUUUACUUUGCAGAACAGGGUUAGACCUUCUGAUAUGUAAAACAAAUAUUAGGAAAUAAACUAUGUUAUUAUUCAGAUAUAGGCUGAAGAAAGUAGAGGAAAAUCCUAUAAUUCCUUUUUGCCAGCAGCAAAAUUAAAUUUAUAAGUAAAUACUUGAGUAAAUACAGAUUACCUACUAAUUAUCUAAUUUACUGCAGGCAUAAUAUGCAAAUUCUAGCAUAUUGUUUUAAAUAUCUGAAUCUAAAAUUACAGAAAAAUUUGCAGUAGAAAAUAGAAAGUAAAAAUGUAUAAGGAGAGUGACAUUAGUAAGAUAAAAAGACUACCUGGGCGCAGUGGCUCAGCCUGUAAUCCCAGCACUUUGGUAGGCUGAGGCAUGCAGGUCAAGAGAUUGAGACCAUCCUGGCCAACAUGGUGAAACCCUGUCUCUACUAAAAAUAAAAAAUUAGCCAGGCAUGGUGGCAGGCGCCUGUAAUCCUAGCUACUUGGGAGGCUGAGGCAGGAGAAUCGCUUGAACCAGGGAGAUGGAGGUUGCAGUGAGCCAAGACCGCACCAUUGCACUAUAGCCUGGGCAAAAGGAGCAAAACUCCAUCUCAAAAAAAAAAAGAAAAAGAAAACAAAUUGCAAAAAAAAAAAAAAGAAAAGAAAAGACUAAAGUGCCCUAUUUUCAUAUCCUCUUACAGGAAAAAAAAAAAAAAAUCAGCCAUACCUGACAAAAAUGCCUUUAUGAGAGAAUCAGGUAUUGAGGCUCACACCUGUAAUGACAGCUACAUGGUACAUUAAGGUUAUGAAACUGCUUCAGGACAGGAUUUCGAGACCAGCCUGGGUUAUGUAGCAAGAUGCCAUCUCCAAAAUAAGUGCCUGUAAGAGAGAUUUGAGAUCCAUGGAGGGAGUUGUGAAAUGCUGUUAAAGCUUAAGAUUGAGAAUUGUUCUAUUCAGAAGGUAGGCCCUCAUAUAGGUGGGAAACUAAAGGAACCCUGUUCUUGGCUACAGACAAGGCUAGGGUUUACCCAACUUGGUCCCACUGACAUUUCUGAACUUACUUUGUAACCAUCCCAAACUCCUCCCAGACACAGUCUGGGAGAGGUCCAGCCAUUCCAGAGACCUGGAGGAAGGCACCCAUUUACAGCCAUGUAGGCAGGCCUGCAGACCUUGGCCUUUACUGUGGUCCCUGAAGCAGUUCAAUGACUCAGUUUCAUUUAACUGAGCCAAGUAUGUGGUCCGUUCUGCCUAUAUAGAAACCCUCACAGGGUUACUUGAGGAAAUGCUCUCUGAUACUCACUGAAAGCCAUACUCAUCCACAUCCUGAUAUAAGGCUUACCAUAAGCAGUCCUGACUGCAAAAACAUGCCCUAGUGUCUGCCCUGUGGAGCAAAGUCCUGAAGGAUAUUCAGUCUAAAAAUAAAAUGGAAAUUACAACUACCCAAGCCCCUAUACCAAGCCAACUAAAGGUGGACCCUAGUGCAGACCCAGCAGCUUUGCGACCAAGCUACAACCCCUCUUCAGUACAAAUUCAGAGAAGAUCUCAUCACCCUAAGGGCCAACAAAAGAAGAUCUUUACCUUCUAAAAUCAGUUUGUGAAAACUUGAAGAGGUACUUGCUCCAUUGAAUUCAGACACCAAUACAAAACCAUAUUGUGCCCAUUGUCAAUGCUUCUUUUUUUUUUUUUUUUUUUUUUGUGAGAUGCCGUUUUGCUCUUGUUGCCCAGGCUGAAGUGCAUUGGUGUGAUCUUGGCUCACUGCAACCUCUGCCUCCCGUGUUCAAGCGAUUCUCCUGUCUCAGCCUCCUGAGUUGCUGGGAUUACAGACUCAUGUCACCACACUCGGCUAAUUUUUGUAUUUUUAGUAGAGACGGGGUUUCAUUGGUCAGACUGGUCUCAAACUCCUGACCUCAGGUGAUCCACACACUUUGGCCUCCCAAAGUGCUGGGAUUACAGGUGUGAGCCACGGAGUCUGGCCAAUGCUUCUAUUUUAAUGUAGCACUGGAAGUAUGUGGCAGAAGAAUUAGUCAUAGAAAUAAAAAAAAAAUCGGCCAGGCGCGGUGGCUCAAGUCUGUAAUCCCAGCACUUUGGGAGGCCGAGAUGGGUGGAUCACAAGGUCAGGAGAUCGAGACCAUCCUGGCUAACAGGUGAAACGCCAUCUCUACUAAAAAAUACAAAAAACUAGCCGGGUGAGGUGGCGGGCGCCUGUAGUCCCAGCUACUCGGGAGGCUGAGGCAGGAGAAUGGCCUAAAUCUGGGAGGCGGAGCUUGCAGUGAGCUGAGAUCCGGCCACUGCACUCCAGCUUGGGUGACAGAGUGAGACCCCGUCUCAAAAAAAAUAAAAAAUAAAAAUAAAAAUAAAUCUAUUGAAAUAAAAAAAAAUAAGUAAAAAGUUGCUGCUUGUAGAUCAUACAAUUGUAUAUAUAAAAAACUAUAAACAGUACAUAAAAAUCUGUCUAAACUAAUAAACACACUCAGUAAAUUAGCAAAAUACAAAAUUAACGUAGAAGUAUAUAUAUGGUUUUUAUACACUUUUUUUUUUUUUUGAAAGAGUCUUGCUCUUGUUGACCAGCCUGGAGUGCAAUGGUGCGAUCUUGGCUAACUGCAACCUCCACCUCCCAGGUUCAAGCGAUUCUCCUGCCUCAGCCUCCCGAGUAGCUGGGAUUAUAGGCAUGCACCACCACACCCAGCUAAUUUUUGUAUUUUCAGUAGGGACAGGAUUUCUCCAUGUUAGUUAGGUUGGUCUUGAACUCCCCACCUCAGUUGAUACACCUGCCUCAGUCUCCCUAAGUGCUGGAAUUACAGGCAUUGGCCACCGUGCCUGGCUAUGGUUUCAUACACUUAAAACAGACUAUCUGACAAACUAGAGGGAAAAAACAUUUUAUUUACUAUAGCGUUAAGUAAUAAAUUUCUGAGAAAAAAAUUGACCAUGGAGGUGAAAAUCUUUACAAUAAAAAAUGAAAAAAUUAGAGAAGAUCCAAAUAAAUUUUAAAAUAUUUUAUGUCUAUGGAUUGAAAGAAUAAAUAUUAAUAAAGUGCCAUAUUAUCCAAAGUGAUCUAUAGAUUCAAUAAACUUCCUAUCAAAAUUGCACAGGCAUUUUUUUCACAGUACUGGAAAAUGCAAUUCUAAAAUUUACAUGAAACUAAAAUAAACUUUGAAUAGCCAAAGCAACCUUGAGGAAAAAGAACAAAGCAGAAAAAUAUCAUACUUAUAAUUUCAAACUAUAUUUCAAGACUUUAUAGUAAUAAAAACAGAUAGACUGUGCAGAAAAAUGAACAAAAAAAUGCAACAGAAACUAUUACUCUCACACAUAUCAGACUUGAUGCAAAAAGAGAACAUGAAAAAC
This 4333-nucleotide long non-coding RNA is filed under the name Macaca fascicularis (crab-eating macaque). RNAcentral describes it as "lncRNA (ENSMFAG00000061128.1)". The record is from RNAcentral. Lineage: Eukaryota; Metazoa; Chordata; Mammalia; Primates; Cercopithecidae.